UUACGGCCAUAACACGCCCAACACUGGUUCUCAUCCGACCACAGACGUUAAGCAACGUCGAGCUUGGUAAGUACCUAGAUGGGUAACCGCUUGGGAAUAUCAGGUACUGUAAG
Molecule: non-coding RNA, 113 nt
Organism: Acanthosepion pharaonis
Lineage: Eukaryota; Metazoa; Mollusca; Cephalopoda; Sepiida; Sepiidae
Source: the annotation of a GenBank genome assembly